UACGUAGGGUGCGAGCGUUGUCCGGAUUUAUUGGGCGUAAAGAGCUCGUAGGCGGUUUGUCGCGUCGGGAGUGAAAACCUUGGGCUUAACUCAGGGCUUGCUUUCGAUACGGGCAGACUAGAGGUAUGCAGGGGAGAACGGAAUUCCUGGUGUAGCGGUGAAAUGCGCAGAUAUCAGGAGGAACACCGGUGGCGAAGGCGGUUCUCUGGGCAUGAUCUGACGCUGAGGAGCGAAAGUGUGGGGAGCGAACAGG
RNAcentral lists this ribosomal RNA (253 nucleotides) under uncultured bacterium. Its description in RNAcentral is "partial 16S ribosomal RNA". It matches the Rfam family "Bacterial small subunit ribosomal RNA", at positions 524 to 776 of the family's 1533-position model. The record is from RNAcentral.